CAGCAUUGUCUAUCGCUUUACAUACCUACACAAGAGGCACCGUGGAACCCCUCUCGGCACAGGCAGGCCUCAACCCCUUCAUCAUUCAGACACACUCGACUCAGCCAAAGAGCUCCACUCUCAUGCAUAUCCGGUUUUUCCAGUAGGCGGGGUGGAUGCGUACCCCACGAGCAAGAAAUCCCUCAUGGAAAUAUUGAAAUGACACGGUGACGCCAUCCGAGUUUCCUCUGAAAAGCACCCUCUAGAAUUUGGAAAUAGAGAAGGGCAGAGAUUACAAUGCUUCCAAUCCUGGCUAAAGCUAACACGGAAGGCUGUCACCCAGUUCUCUGCCUGACUCCGGCCCUGUAUUCCUACACCCAUGACAACCAUCACCCUGUUUAAAUCUAUCUGCAAGUACUGCCUUGUAUCCUGCACACCUGCACACCAUGCUCCUAACCCCGACUCUGUAUGCAGCCGGCCAUACUCUGGCCUGGAGAAGUGGCUCUCAAAUGAAGAAGCUUGAAUGUUCUUGUUAGGCAUUUUCGGGCUGGACACACCAAGAGGAAACAUGCAUUCUGGGAAUAAAAUAGAUGCUUAAAUGCAUUGUGCAUCUUUAUCUUACUCACUAAUAGUUAGUAUUUUACUGUUUCUGUUUAUCAGUCUAUAAUAUCUUUUAUUUACUUAGCCUACCUGAAUAGCAACCAAACAGCUCUAUGCACAUAGCAAUACCGCCAAGCCAACUGACAGGGCACACCCGCACAAGUCUUGUCCGGACAUGGACUAAGGGUUGGAAAUGUCUUUUACUAUCAAAUAAGUUGGCCAAAAGUUUCUGAAAUCAGAAGCAUCUGUUCAGUUAAUAUUUUUUUGUAUUGUAUGCAAUAAUAAGAUGUUAUGGCAAAUAACAAAAAUAGCUAAAUACUACCUGAUAAGAUGUCUCCUUUUAUUUUCUUGUGGGGAGCUCAACUCAUAAAAGACAACUAUGUUUAGCUUUUCAUAUAUAUUUAUAUAUAUAUAUAUAUUUUUUUAUAUAUUAAUGUUGCAUAUGCUACCAAUUUAAGUUUUGCUACCAACACAUCAUUAAAAAAAGGUGAUAGUUCUAUGUUAUUGUGCAUACUCCAAACCUGAGUCUUAAAUGUGACAAAUAAAGUGUUAUGAUCCUGGACCAUAAAAGACACAAACCUCCUCAAUUCCGCCAUAAAAUUUGAGAUGAUCUUCAGAAAAUCCAGAUAGCAAAAUAUAUUGGGUGACUCUACGAUUUUCAUGUGGAUGCCCGUAGGUAGCAAUACCUGUGACAAUUGUAAUUUCACUGAGGUCUAUCUAGAAAGUAAAUAAAGCACACUAAGCAC
This is a long non-coding RNA of Nematostella vectensis (starlet sea anemone), 1325 nucleotides long. RefSeq lists it as uncharacterized. The transcript is spliced from 3 exons. NCBI's taxonomy places the organism in Eukaryota, Metazoa, Cnidaria, Anthozoa, Actiniaria, Edwardsiidae. The record is from RefSeq and is a predicted model, not a curated record.